Pongo abelii (Sumatran orangutan) is the source of this 148-nucleotide unclassified non-coding RNA. It matches the Rfam family "Metazoan signal recognition particle RNA". From Rfam's summary of the family: The signal recognition particle (SRP) is a universally conserved ribonucleoprotein. It is involved in the co-translational targeting of proteins to membranes. The record is from Ensembl. Lineage: Eukaryota; Metazoa; Chordata; Mammalia; Primates; Hominidae.
GCCGGGUGUGGUGGCGCGUGCCUGUAGUCCCAGCUACUCAGGAGGCUGAGGUGGGAGGAUUGCUUGAGCCUGGAAGGUUGAGGCUGCAGUGAGCCAUGAUUGUGCCACUGCACUCCAGCCUGGGUGACAAAGCAAAACCCUGUCUCAA